GGGAAAACAAAAAAAGAAAGAAAAAGGCAGGCAGAGCAGUGGCAUGGAGAAAGCACAGGCCUUGGGUGCAGACAGAAUCCCGAUUCCACCACGUGUUACCUGUGUGACCUUGGGCAAUCCUUCGGAGCCUCAGUUUCCUUAACUACAAAUUGGGGUUACUGAUCUCCAACUUCCCCGAAUCUUCAGUAGAAUCAUUUCCAGGCCCAGAUCAAGCAAUUCCUUAUACAGGAAGUAAAACGUCUUCGUUCUGGGAAAUUCAGUUGCUGUUGUUGGUGCCUUCGCGUCGAUUCUGACUCCUAGGUGCCCUGUGUCCAGCAGAGUGGAACGCUGCCUGGUCUUUUUGCGCCACCCUCUCACCUUCCGGUGCUACAUCAGACAAUGCUCUGCUGCUAUUCAUGGGGAAAUUUAGAGGAUGCAGGUAAACACAAAGAAGGGAAUAUAAGCUUUGUGCAAAGCAUCUAGCACAUGCCUGGCAUACAGUAGGUGUUUUGACAACACCAUCUUGGCUCUCAGACUUCCCUAUGUCAGUAUCGUCCUGGAAGAAAGUAACUUUAGCCAGGGGUGACUCCAGCCUCAGCCCAAGAAAACCCUAACAAGAGAAAGGGAAUCCUGGGAAGGGAGCAGGAGGUGGAUUCCUCAGGUCAAGAUCAAGAGCUAGUGAACUGAAGUUAGACCUGCCACAAGCUUGCAGGGAGAUCCUGGGAAAACCACUUAACUUCCUGGAGCCACAGCGUCUCACCCGUAAGACAGAGGUUGUCAAGGCCGACCUGCCAGUAUCCUUGGGAGGACCACGUGAUAUGUGGGCAUGGGAAUGCCCACUGUGGUGCCAGCCAUUGGGAGGUGCUCAGGAAAUGGGAGUUAGCUUGGAUCUGAGGCUGGGAACUCCCUUUCUGAGCUCCUAUAAGACGUAAGGUCACUCACAAUUGUCUCCUGUCACUAAGGGGCUGUGUAAGGCCUGGCUUGGAGCCCAGCUUUGUCACAAAGGUACUAUGCGAAUUGGGUAAGCCUCUUCCUCUCCAGGGCUUGGAUUCCUCCAUUUGUGAAAUGGCCAGAUUAGGGGUCCAAAUCUGAAUACCCCACUGGAGCAGACAACGCACGCCUUAUUUCUUGCACAUGGAAGAUUCGCCACCACCCGUACCUGAUUCAUCUCUGCCUCAGGCCACGAGUUUUCAAUCUUUGGUUAAGACAGUCUCAGAGGCCCUUCCAUAGCUGACAUUCAACUACUUUCUAAUUCUGGCUCUGCAAGCUAUGUCAAGCUGUGUGACUCUGGGAGACACGUCUGCCAAGACCCUCCUCUACUGAAAGGCCAAGAAAGAAUGACGACAGACCCUCUCCCCAGGGAAGGGCCCAUCCAGACGCUGUGCUCUUGAACAUUAUAGCAAACACAUGCCCAGGCUGCAGUAAAAGGACCCAAAAUCCAGCUCUCAGCCCCUGUCAGUUCAGCCCCCUGCUCCACGCCAGAAAAAUCUCUUCAACAGGGUACAGAAUAAUAACCUCGCUUGUGUCCA
RNAcentral lists this long non-coding RNA (1508 nucleotides) under Equus caballus (horse). Its description in RNAcentral is "lncRNA (ENSECAG00000056327.1)". Lineage: Eukaryota; Metazoa; Chordata; Mammalia; Perissodactyla; Equidae. The record is from RNAcentral.